UCAAACUUGGUCAUUUAGAGGAAGUAAAAGUCGUAACAAGGUAACCGUAGGUGAACCUGCGGUUGGAUCAUUACAUAUAAAGACGGUUGGGCUACGUAGCCGUAGCUCUAACGCUCACACCUUGUGCACUGUGGUUGUCCUUGGCAAGUUAGCGUUAGUUUAGCGCGAGUCUUGCAUUAAGCCGAGUAAGGCUUAGUGGGAGCUUGCCGUUUUCUUCUCUACGUAAUUUGCUUGUGAGCCUGAUUGUUCAUAGAUGAAAAUAGGUGAAACAACUUUUGGCAACGGAUCCCUUGGCUCUCGCAUCGAUGAAGAACGCAGC
This 319-nucleotide unclassified non-coding RNA is filed under the name uncultured fungus. Its description in RNAcentral is "partial contains small subunit ribosomal RNA, internal transcribed spacer 1, and 5.8S ribosomal RNA". The stretch from base 1 to 73 matches the Rfam family "Eukaryotic small subunit ribosomal RNA", at positions 1759 to 1831 of the family's 1831-position model. Lineage: Eukaryota; Fungi. The record is from RNAcentral.